Molecule: long non-coding RNA, 16037 nt
Filed under: Malus domestica (apple)
Lineage: Eukaryota; Viridiplantae; Streptophyta; Magnoliopsida; Rosales; Rosaceae
Description: long non-coding RNA (MDOM_LNC006255)
Source: RNAcentral
AAAUUCACCUACAACAAUCCAUCCAAAUUCACCUACAACCUCCACCCAAAUUCACCUACAACAUACACCCAAAUUCACCUACAACAAUCCAUCCAAAUUCACCUACAACCUCCACCCAAAUUCACCUACAACAUACACCCAAAUUCACCUACAACAAUCCAUCCAAAUUCACCUACAACCUCCACCCAAAUUCACCUACAACAAUCCAUCCAAAUUCACCUACAACCUCCACCCAAAUUCACCUACAACAUCCACCAAAAUAAAUGGAUGGUGGUGGUUCAUUCCCAAAGUCUAUAAAUAGGCUCCUCCAUCAAAGAAUCAGGAGAGGAUUUUUACAUACACUUUCUCUACUCCCAAAUUGGAAGAGAAGUCACACCACACCAAAGCCUUGAAGCCUCGAAACUUAGAAGCUCUCAAGCAAAUCCCGAAGGAUCAAGAAAGCCCUCUUCAUUCUUCGUGAAAUCCUCCUUCAAGAUCAAGCCCCAACGCCCCUUGGAGAACUUCCACUCAUUCAAGAUCAAGCCCCGACGGCCCUUGAAGAAGGUGUUCAUCACUCAUCAACUGUUCGUCCAAGAUCAAGCCUCGACGGCCCCUGGAUCAGCAACACUACCUCUACGCGUUUCAAAGAUAGAAUCAGAGGCCAAAUUCGUAGAAGAGAUUGUAACCCCUAAAUCAUUAAUACAAAUAUUAUUUUGUACACGUGUUCUUGUCUCAUUCGUUUCAGGAAUUUUCCGUGUUUACAACUUUGGCACGCCCGGUGGGACAGUCUCUACCUCUCAUCUCUAUCUUUGAAUCCGCAACAAGCACAAAUGGCGUCAAGGAAGGCCCAAGUUGUUCUCGCUGCCAAUGCAAGAAACAAGAGCGCCAUCACGACAGGGGGCGUCACUUCAGGCAUCAUAACUCGAAGCAAGGCAAAAGCUCUUUCUGCCGCCUCUUCCGCCCCUGCAUCAACUCCGCCGAAGGCACAAGAGCACCCGAGGCACAAACCGGUGAUCACCCUGGCCUCGCUCAGGGCGCCAAGAGAGGAAAGCCAGAGGAAGUACUCUGAAUCCUUACUUUCUGAUGCCGACUCAAGCAGCGGCAUAGCUAUGCAAGUCAUGGUUGCUGGAGCGACUUCAAUUGAAGAGCAGCUGGCUCAGAUGAGUGAAACAAUCGCAAAACUCACAAGGACUGUGGAGGACAAAGACCUGCAAAUCGCAGCACUCGUUAACCAACUAGAUGCAAAGCCCGAUGAGAAAGUCAGGCAAGGGGAUAAUCCAAUAAAGAGGGAAAACGACGAGGAUGAGGAACCUCUAGUGGAGAACGUCGAAGAGACACUGAAGUCGGACCAAGCGGCGACACUCAUGGGGUCUCUCUCUAUCCAGCAGCUGCAGGAGAUGAUCGCCAACACCAUCAAGGUGCAGUAUGAAGGAAGCUCACAUGAUUCCGUACUAUACUCAAAGCCCUACUCCAAGAAGAUUGACGCUUUGAAGAUGCCGAGGGGGUUAUCAACCACCAAAGUUUAUGCAGUUCGAUGGAAAGGGGAACCCGAAGCAACAUGUCGCCCACUUCAUUGAAACCUGCAACAAUGCUGGAACAGAAGGAGACUACCUCGUCUAGCAAUUCGUGCGCUCGCUGAAAAGCAACGCCUUUGACUGGUACACCGACCUCGAGCCGAGUCUAUCAACAGUUGGGAUCAGCUAGAAAAGGAAUUCCUCAACCGCUUCUACAGCACGCGCCGCACCGUAAGCAUGCUGGAGCUGACCAGUACGAAACAGUGGAAGGAGGAACCCGUCGUCGACUACAUCAAUAGAUGGCGUUCAUUAAGUCUGGAUUGCAAAGAUCGGCUUUCUGAAACCUCUGCCAUUGAGAUGUGUGUUCAAGGCAUGCACUGGGGGUUACAUUACAUUCUCCAAGGCAUAAAACCAAGAACGUUUGAGGAGCUGGCAACGCGUUCCCACGACAUGGAGCUGAGUAUCGCCAAUCACGGAAAGAAUGAGCCGAUCACCCCACUUCAAGAAGGAUAAGGUGUUCGCCCCGAGUGUGGACAAGACUGGAAAAAAGCCUGCCAAGGAAACUUUUACUGUCAACACUACCCCCAUCAAAACUCCAUCUGCGCCUAUCAAGACCACCUCUGCGCCUAUCAAGAUUUCCUCCAAGACCAAGGCAAAUGAGACAAAGAGAAAGUGAGCCUCCUCGCACCCAAGACAAGUAUAAAAACACCUUGAGAGAGUUGGAGCAAAAGACGUACCCUUUUCCUGACUCAGACGUGGAUGCGAUGUUAGAUGACUUGCUGGAAAAGAAGGUAAUUGAGUUACCAGAGUGCAAGCGCCCUGAAGAAAUGAAUCGAACGAACGAUCCUAGGUACUGCAAGUACCAUCGUAUCGUAAGCCAUCAUGUGGGCAAGUGCUUCGUCCUCAAAGAACUCAUUAUGAAGCUAGCGCAACAAGGGAGAAUCGAGCUAGACCUUGAGGACACAGCCGCAACACAUACUACUACUACGGUGGCGUUCGGAUCCUUCGAUCCCGUGCCUCUCCAAACGACACCCGACCAUUCCUAUCAAUGUGCAAGCUACACGGCGCCAUCUACUCAACCAUCGUCGGGGGCAAACGAACAAGAUGCGUAUACUGAUGAUGAUGAAGGAUGGACAUUGGUGACCUACAAAAAAACAAGGAAACCAAAACCACAAGCCACAAGACCAAAGGUGGAACAAGUGAGAAAAACCGUCGCCGCAACAGUAGGAAGCCUAAAAGAAACGUAAAAGUCAAUAAGCCAACGUAUGCUGGGAAACCCAUGGAGCAAGAGCCACGCAUUCCUGUCUCCUUGCGCGAGUACUUCCCGAAUGACUUCUUCCAACAGUGCACUAUCGCUGCAUGCCAUAUGGUCGAAGUAGAAACUGAAGAACCUCCAAAAGGCAAAGAUAUCACCACUGAGGGAGAAAAAACUCUCACGCUCGAAGAAGGUCUGCCAACACAUUUUAGCAUUGAGGAAGCGCUACGAUUACCAAAGAAGAUGCGAAUAGCAUUAGCAGCGGUCUUGGAAAGUCCCAAUGAACAUGAAGUGCAAGAAAGCAAGAACGAAGGCUUGAAGCUUCGGCCACAUGAAUGUGCCACAUGUUGUGCUAUCGAGGAUGCAAUCCAUUUCACCGACGAAGACUUGCUGCUAGGAUCCAAGCCUCACAACCGUCCUCUCUUCGUCUCUGGGUAUGUAAAAGGGCACAAAGUCAACCGCAUGCUCGUGGAUGGUGGAUCAGCCAUAAAACAUCAUGCCAAAGUCAACAAUGACUACAAUCGGCAUCAAGGCAGAUGAGCUGUCCCUAAGUCGUCUACUAAUCCAAGGUUUUAAUCAAGGAGGACAAAGAGCGAUGGGCAUGAUCCGAGUGGAGAUGACUAUUGGUGAACUCAAGUCGAGCACCGAUAUUCCACGUGAUUGAUGCAAGAACUUCCUACGGCUUACUCUUAGGAAGCCUUGGAUCCAUGCGAAUGGAGUAGUACCGGUCCACCCUUCACCAAUGCUUAAAAUUCUACCGAGAAGGAGUGAAGGUGAUCUAUGGCGACACCAAACCAUUCACUGAAGCCGAAUCACAUUUCGCAGACGCCAAGUUCUACAUGGAUGAAGACAUGGUACCCGAAGCUCUUCCAAAAGAAAUCAAAUCCACGGGCAAAGCAACACCUAAAAAGCAGGAGCGACAAGCCAUGCCAAGAAGCAAGAAGAAGAAGUUACGCCGUCUUCAAGCAAGAACGAUAAUGAGCUGGCUAAACGAGCAACAACAAAGGGGAGUAGGAUGCCCUCAAAUGGACCAAACAUACCCGUCUUCCCGAUACAUCCCGAUGUCGAGAAGAAAAGAAUGGUCAAUCUCCGUUCGAAACUGGAGCAAAACAAAGCCGAUGCACAGAGGCAUAUGGAUAAUGUAAAGUUGCUCAAGACGAAUGCAGUUUUACCUCUGACACAGCUAGGCGGCACUAAGGUCGCAAGACUACCACAAGGCUUCAUAAAAGCUCUACCGAAGGGGGUGGAACCGAGCUUUCUCCCAACCCAGAGGACUUAAGAAGGUUUUGAUCCAAACGCCUAUAAACUCAUGUCGAAAGCUGGCUACGACUUCGCUUCUUCUUCGAAUCAUGAAAAGAAGGUUUCAAACACCAUUAACAAUAAAGAACAUGACCUCACCGAGACUCAAAAGAAGUUGAAGAAGCACGGUUACGGAGUUGAUAACAACAAAGCUGGACUAGGCUUCACACCAAAUGCACCCGUGAAGAUUUCAAGCAAAGCGAAAAAUGCUAGCACCCAACACAUCAGCGUGAGUAUUGAACAAGAUCAUAAUGAGCCUAAAUCCACCCCUUGGACGUCAGUCUUCGAUAGGAUGAAUCGUUCAAGAUCCAGAAUGUCAGCACUUAACCGCAUUGGUGGUCAAAACCCGAACCUCCGUCUUCAAGAGACUUAACAUGCCAGCAUCCCAAAGCUCUGUUUUUGAAAGGUUGUCAAAAACCUAAGAGGCAAAGCAACACGACUAGCUCUCUUCCUCGUCAGUCAGCUUUGGAAAGACUUGAAGACAGCAAGAAGUUUUCCAGAAAUAGGAAGACAAUGUCAAAGGAAGGAAAACUCGAUAUGAUAGCAGAAAAAAAUGUGAUAUUCGAAGCUCAAUUCCUUCAAGGAUGAAGCGCCAAGCAAUCUUGGAGGUGGACACAAAUGGACCACUGAAAGUAAAAAGGGCGCACCAUCAUCCCACACUGGACAAUCUUCAUGCCGACCAGCCCAAGAGGACGACACCGAAGAGGAAUUCCAAGAUGUCUUCCACAUCACGAUCCAAGAAAGCGGAGAAGAUGAGAUCCUCGAAGAAGAUGUCGCUGCUGAGCCACCGCAACUUGAGGAUGGGGGGCAAUCCACGGUUGAUGAUCUCAAGGAGCUCAACUUAGGCACAAAAGAUGAGCAGAAACCUAUCUUCGUGAGUGCGCUGCUAAGUGCAGACGAGGUAGAUGAGUAUUACCAACUGUUAUCAGAGUACAAAGACGUCUUUGCUUGGACUUACAAGGAAAUGCCCGGCCUUGACCCUGUCAUCGCUGUACAUCAUCUUGCAGUUAAGCCUGGAACGCGACCGAUAAGCAAACUCAAAGGCGCUAUCGAUCCGAGCUAAUUCCACAAAUCGAGGUAGAGAUUGAUAAGCUAAUCGAAGCAGGCUUCAUUCGAGAGGUGCAAUACCCCAAGUGGAUCUCCAACAUCGUCAUCGUCCUUAAGAAAUCUGGAACAAAUACGUGUUUGUGUAGACUUCCGGGACCUCAAUGACGCUUGCCCGAAAGAUGACUUUCCCUUGCCAAUCAUCGAAAUCAUGGUGGACGCAACCACUGGCCACGAGGCACUGUCAUUUAUGGACGGCUCUUCUGGAUACAAUCAAAUUCGUAUGGCUCUCGAAGAUGAGGAACUAACAGCAUUCCGCACUCCAAAGGUAUCUACUGCUACAAGGUCAUGCCGUUUGGUCUAAAGAAACGCUGGAGCCACAUAUCAGCGAGCAAUGCAGAAAAUCUUCAAUGACAUGCUACACAAAACGUAGAAUGUUAUGUAGACGACGUGGUGGUCAAAACAAAGAAAGAUCAUAUCACUUGAAGGAUUUGCGAGUAGUGUUCAAAAGGCUGCGAAAGUACACCUCAAGAUGAACCCGUUGAAGUGUGCGUUUGGGCGUCACCUCUGGAAAGUUCCUCGGCUUCAUUGUCAAGCACCGUGGCAUUGAAGUGGACCAAUCAAAAAUCAAGGCCAUCCAAAACAUGCCCGAGCCAAGAAACCUGCACGAGCUGAAAAGUCUACAAGGACGACUAGCCUUCAUCAGACGCUUCAUCUCCAACCUUGCAAGGCGUUGUCAACCGUUUUAGUCGACUCAUGAAAAAGGAUGUUCCAUUCAUAUGGGACGAAGCGUGCCACAAUGCUUUUGAAAGCAUAAAAAAAUAUUUAUCAAGUCCACCUGUCCUGGGGGCGCCUGUNACGACUUCGCUUCUUCUUCGAAUCAUGAAAAGAAGGUUUCAAACACCAUUAACAAUAAAGAACGUGACCUCACCGAGACUCAAAAGAAGUUGAAGAAGCACGGUUACGGAGUUGAUAACAACAAAGCUGGACUAGGCUUCACACCAAAUGCACCCGUGAAGAUUUCAAGCCAAAGCGAAAAAUGCUAGCACCCAACACUCAGCGUGAGUAUUGAACAAGAUCAUAAUGAGCCUAAAUCCACCCCUUUGGACGUCAGUCUUCGAUAGGAUGAAUCGUUCAAGAUCCAGAAUGUCAGCACUUAACCGCAUUGGUGGUCAAAACCGAACCUCCGUCUUCAAGAGACUUAACAUGCCAGCAUCCCAAAGCUCUGUUUUUGAAAGGUUGUCAAAAACCUAAGAGGCAAAGCAACACGACUAGCUCUCUUCCUCGUCAGUCAGCUUUGGAAAGACUUGAAGCAGCAAGAAGUUUUCCAGAAAUAGGAAGACAAUGUCAAAGGAAGGAAAACUCGAUAUGAUAGCAGAAAAAUGUGAUAUUCGAAGCUCAAUUCCUUCAAGGAUGAAGCGCCAAGCAAUCUUGGAGGUGGACACAAAUGGACCACUGAAAGUAAAAAGGCGCACCAUCAUCCACACUGGACAAAUCAUGCCGACCAGCCCAAGAGGACGACACCGAAGAGGAUUCCAAGAUGUCUUCCACAUCACGAUCCAAGAAAGCGGAGAGAUCGAGAUCCUCGAAGAAGAUGUCGCUGCUGAGCCACCGCAACUUUGAGGAUGGGGGGCAAUCCACGGUUGAUGAUCUCAAGGAGCUCAACUUAGGCACAAAAGAUGAGCAGAAAACCUAUCUUCGUGAGUGCGCUGCUAAGUGCAGACGAGGUAGACUGAGUAUUACCAACUGUUAUCAGAGUACAAAGACGUCUUUGCUUGGACUUACAAGGAAAUGCCCGGCCUUGACCCUGUCAUCGCUGUACAUCAUCUUGCAGUUAAGCCUGGAACGCGACCGAUAAAGCAAACUCAAAGGCGCUAUCGAUCUGAGCUAAUUCCACAAAUCGAGGUAGAGAUUGAUAAGCUAAUCGAAGCAGGCUUCAUUCGAGAGGUGCAAUACCCCAAGUGGAUCUCCAACAUCGUCAUCGUCCUUAAGAAAUCUGGACAAAUACGUGUUUGUGUAGACUUCCGGGACCUCAAUGACGCUUGCCCGAAAGAUGACUUUCCCUUGCCAAUCAUCGAAAUCAUGGUGGACGCAACCACUGGCCACGAGGCACUGUCAUUUAUGGACGGCUCUUCUGGAUACAAAUCAAAUUCGUAUGGCUCUCGAAGAUGAGGAACUAACAGCAUUCCGCACUCCAAAAGGUAUCUACUGCUACAAGGUCAUGCCGUUUGGUCUAAAGAACGCUGGAGCCACAUAUCAGCGAGCAAUGCAGAAAAUCUUCAAUGACAUGCUACACAAAAACGUAGAAUGUUAUGUAGACGACGUGGUGGUCAAAACAAAGAAAAGAUCAUAUCACUUGAAGGAUUUGCGAGUAGUGUUCAAAAGGCUGCGAAAGUACAACCUCAAGAUGAACCCGUUGAAGUGUGCGUUUGGCGUCACCUCUGGAAAGUUCCUCGGCUUCAUUGUCAAGCACCGUGGCAUUGAAGUGGACCAAUCAAAAAUCAAGGCCAUCCAAAACAUGCCCGAGCCAAGAAACCUGCACGAGCUGAAAAGUCUACAAGGACGACUAGCCUUCAUCAGACGCUUCAUCUCCAACCUUGCAAGGCGUUGUCAACCGUUUAGUCGACUCAUGAAAAAGGAUGUUCCAUUCAUAUGGGACGAAGCGUGCCACAAUGCUUUUGAAAGCAUAAAAAAAUAUUUAUCAAGUCCACCUGUCCUGGGGGCGCCUGUGCCCGGGAAACCACUCAUAUUAUACAUCGCCGCUCAGGAAAGUUCAGUGGGAGCACUCUUGGCCCAGGAAAACGAAUUCCAGAAAGAAUGAGCGCUUUACUACCUGAGUCGAACGCUCACCGGCGCCGAGUUGAACUACUCCCCAAUAGAGAAAAUGUGCCUUGCCUUAGUGUUUGCCAUCCAGAAGCUCAGACAUUACAUGCAUGCUUACACCAUCCACUUGGUUGCUAAAGCUGACCCGGUUAAAUAUGUCAUGUCCAAGCCAGUCUUGACAGGGCGACUAGCUAAAUGGGCGUUGAUUCUCAAUCAAUACGAGAUCAUUUGCGUCCCAGCUAAAGCCGUCAAGGGACAAGCAUUAGCAGACUUCCUUGCCGAUCAUCCAAUCCCAGCCGAUUGGAAAAUCUCAGACGACUUGCCUGACGAGGAGGUAUUCUACAUUGACAUAUUUCCGAGAUAGACGAUGUUUUUCGACGGAUCCGCACGAGCAGACGGAGAGGGGGCAGGAGUAGUAUUCAUGUCACCGCAAAGGCAAAUACUACCUUACUACUCAUUCCAACUAAGCGAAUUGUGCUCCAACAACGUCGCUGAGUACCAGGCACUAAUCAUCGGGCUUCAAAUGGCGAUCAACAUGGAAAUCACAACCCUUGAGGUAUAUGGCGACUCUAAGCUCAUAAUUAGUCAACUCUUGACUGAAUAUGAGGUGAGGAAAGAUGAUCUCGUUCCGUACUUCCGAUUGGCAACUCAGCUGCUUACAAAAGUUCGAGGCCCGUAACACUAGAACACGUGCCGAGAAAAAGAAAAUCAAAUGGCAGACGCUCUCGCUAACCUAGCCUCGAGUAUGACACUAGGGGAAGACGAAGCUGCAGAUGUGCCAAUUUGCCAAAGAUGGGUCAUCCCCCUCGCCACCGAAAUGAUACUAGAUGAUACGAAUGUCAUCUCGGUACUUCCAGUCGAUGUUGAAGAAUGGAGACAACCAUUGAUUGACUACUUGGAGUAUGGAAAACUUCCAAAUGAUCCGAGACACCGCUCUGAAAUACGUCGACGAGCACCUCGCUUCCUCUACUACAAAGAAACACUCUACCGGCGCUCUUUCGAAUGAGUACUUCUGAGAUGCCUAGGUGAGGAAGAAGCCAAUCAAGCCAUGGAAGAAGCACACUCAGGCGUGUGCGGGGCGCAUCAAUCUGGACCAAAGCUACAUUUCCAGCUCAAGAGAAUGGGUUACUACUGGCCAAGUAUGGUGAAGGAUUGCCUGGAACAUGCCAAAAGGUGCCAAGCCUGCCAAUUCCACGCCAACUUCAUACAUCAACCACCUGAACCAUUACACCCUACAGCUGCUUCAUGGCCAUUCGAUGCAUGGGGAUUGGACGUCGUGGGACCAAUUACUCCAAAGUCGUCUGCAGGAGAAGCUUACAUCCUAGCUGCAACAGAUUAUUUCUCCAAGUGGGCUGAAGCCAUACCCCUAAGGGAAGUAAAAAAGGAAACUGUUGUCCGCUUCAUCAAGAAGCAUAUCAUCCACAGAUAUGGUGUGCCUCGGUACAUUAUCACUGACAAUGGAAAACAGUUCUCCAACCGACUUGUAGACGAACUCUGUGAGAAAUACAAGUUCAAGCAGCACAAGUCUUCCAUGUAUCAUGCUCCGGCCAACGGUCUCGCAGAAGCAUUCAACAAAACAUUGUGCAACCUCUUAAAGAAGGUGAUCGGCCGAACAAAGAGAGACUGGCACGAAAGAAUAAGCGAAGCACUUUGGGCAUAUAGGACAACGCAUAGGACUCCUACCCAAGCUACCCCUUAUUCUCUCGUAUAUGCGUAGAAGCUGUUCUACCGCUAGAAAGUCAAAUCCCCUCACUUAGGAUGGCUAUACAAGAAGGCUUGACUGAUGAAGAGAAUGCAAAGUUGCGCCUUCAAGAGUUGGAAUCACUCGACGAAAGAAGGCUCGAAGCUCAACAACACUUGGAAUGCUACCAAGCACGGCUAUCCAAGGCAUUCAACAAGAAGGUCCGCCCAAGGUCUUUCCAAACUGGAGAUCUCGUCCUUGCAUUACGAAGGCCUAUCAUCACGACUCACAAGACAAAAAGCAAGUUCACAUCAAAGUGGGAUGGACCGUACGUAAUACAAGAGGUCUACACAAACGGCGCCUACUUAAUCAUGGCAGAAGACGGCUUGAAGAUCGGUCCCAUCAAUGGCAGAUUCUUGAAGCGUUACUACCCCUAAAAAGGCUACGGCACAAGGCUCCUGGCCCGCAAGAGCAUAAACUGUGUGUACGGCAAAAAUCAUCAUCAAAAUCACCAUAAAAAAAAAAUUAUCGCUCAUUUGAACUACGUUAUGACUUGAUCCCCCAUCAACCGGGGGUACGUAGGCAACUUGAAACUUCAAAACUUCAAGUACAGUCACAUCAUCAUAAAAAAAAUAAAAAAAAAUAAAAAAAAAUACAAACACUUUGAAGAAUCAAAAGAAAUAUGAAUACUUUAUUUCUUUAAAGGAAUGAUUUGGUCAUAAAGCCGUAUUACAAAGGUGAGCAUUACGCCAACGUCACCACCAAGGAAAGUUGUGACCAAAAGGCACUACACAGCAUAAACUUGCUGCAGUCUUUUGCACAACCCCACAAGGUAAAGGUGACGCACUGGAACAAGCUCCGAGCAACAGCGGCAAAGAGCCCAUGGCAAGCAGCAAGGUUAAUGUGCACAGCGACAUCACCACCACUAAAGGAAAACUGUGACCAAAAGGCAUUACACAGCGAAGCCCCACUGCAGUCUCUUGCACAGCACCACACGGCAGCGCACCACCGAGGGAAAAACUGUGAUCAAAAGGCACUACACAGCGAAACCCCGUUGCAGUCUCUUGCAUAAACCCUAGGCAACAUAAAGCAUAGAUAUGCCCACGUCCUGCUCACUCCAAAUACCACGUCUCUAAAAGCUUCGUGAGGUUCCCAGCAUCAUGCUUUGUCCCCCAAAAUUAAAGAUUCCUAGCAUCACAUCAAAAUAAAGAAUAAACAUUUUAUUAAAGGUUUGGUUAAUGAAGGUCAAUGUUAUUACAAUUUCUUUGCACAAAUGUGUAUAUAUAUAUAUAUAAGUGGGGUUUUUCUCCAUUUUAAAUGCCGUCCCUAAACCAAAGUGGAUGGAAUUGGUCCUAAAUCCCAUUGGUGCAGCAAUCAGGACAAAUCCUGUUGUUGGGCUUGAAUUUGUAAGGCAGCUGGUCAAGCUCCAAACAAGAAAAGACUACCUUUCCGAGGUCCGAGACCCGGCCCAGGCCCUAAUCCUGGGUCAAGCCCAACGUCCAGACCUAUUGCAGCCAUGCCAGAGGAAGCUUCUGAGGGUGGGUGUGCAGAGGGAUUUGCAUUCUCUCUGACAUAGCAAGGAAGCUUGACCUCGACGACUCCAAGCACGUCAUUCGACGAGUCGCCGAGCUUCGCCGUCUCUACAACAUCCAGUUCGACUCUUCCAUAAUCGGCAUCAGUGAGGUUUAUAAAGUUGUGAUUUGCAUAAAACAUCGCCGCCACAAGAUAUGGGUUUCUAUUCGAUCGGAGCAGGCCCAUCGGUGCUCUUCCUUCACAGAUUCCCGGAGCUCUGGUACUUAUGGCGCCACCAACUUCUAUCUCCACAACUCCACUUGGGCUUCGACCUACAGAUUCAGUGAUGGCAGGCAUUCCUCUGCAACACCUCUUCCUUUUCAGCACCAACCUUUCCGCUGGCUUCAGCUCCGGCGAGACCAAGUCCAAGCGCCGAUGGUUCGUCAACGAACGAGGAGGUACAGCUUCUGAAGUCCCAAAGCUUGAGACGGAUCAAGGUCUUUAAUUCUGACCCGGUUAUGCUCCGGGCCCUAGCUGGAUCCGACAUCAAAGUCACGGUCGGCCUUCUUCUUUGCUCCAGUUUUCAAAUGCCGAAACUAUUCUCUAGCAUUACCUCAAUAGCUCUUCCACCAGGCGUCAUCUCCUCUCGCCGCCAGAUCUUCGAUAAGUUUCCUGGUUGGGAUCCCCAGCUCCAAAAGUGUCCAAGGAUUGAAGUCUUGGGCUUGGGUUCGGAGGUUUGUGUACUUCCGUUGCUCUGCUGCUGCCUUUGAAUUUGAUUUAACUGACGCUUUGUAUCCCCCUCUCUGCCUCGCUGCUGGGACAUGGAACUUGGAUUGCGCCCCUCUUCUCUUCUCCUUCUUCUUCGUGCAGUCCCAGAGCGUGGUCGACAAGUACACGGAGCCGAUAGGGGAUGUUGGGGUCAUGGAUGAGAAAGACCUUGAUCUGCUUUAUUCCUUCAAAGAACAGCUGCAGCAACAUGUCUGGGUUCAACGGACACAAAAAAGAAUGCAAUGCAGUGAGGGUGAUGAAACGACCAGAUGGAACAUCCAACUUCCAUAUAUAUAUAUAUAUAAACAAUAUGUGCCCAGUGAUGGUGGCAGGACAAUCAAAUGUCUAUAUAUGUAUACAUAUGCAUAUGUACAUGUCAAAAUCGUGCUCGGUUUAAAAUAAACACCUCACAGAGUAAAGGCUGCGUAAAGGAACUUACUAGAUGACUGAUUUCUCUUCUCCCCGUCCAAAGCAACUCACCCUUGCGGUUUUGUCCAGCACCCAAUUUAACAGGCAACAAACACGAAGAACGCAGUGCGGCGAGGAAGCAGUGCGUGCAAUCAACAGUAGCGCAGGAUUACAGAACAAGGCAAUCGGGAUGCAAGAUAGCAAGCAAAUACAGUGGCUGUGCAAUGGUUGUGCAGUGAUGGCUCGAUAUAUAUGUAUGUCGGGAUGUGUGUAUACAUAUAUAUGCGUAUGUAAAAGAACACAGAGAAGCAAAAAGAAGUGCGGUGACUGUACGAACAAUAACCGGCAUGCAGCAUCCUCUGCAGUAUGGUGACUGUGCAAAUAGCAAUCCGCGUGCAGUGAAGAACGUAAUAAGGUGACUAUGCAAGUGAAAAGAUGGUCCGCAUGCGAGAAGAACGCAGUGCAGUGAGGAAGGCCACCAAGAAACCCAAUCGUGCUAUCGUCAAGCCACUCACAAGUGCAUAUUACUAUUAGCAAGUCAAUAAUGGAAAAAGAAAUGGGUGCACUAGUCACUAUCUAAAAGGAAGUGGGUGUAUAGGGAAGUAAUACAUCUUAGUUAGAUAUACGUUUUAUUUGCGUUUCAACACAACAUACGGAAUAAAAUAAGGCAUGUCCAUUAAUAUCUCCAAGAAAUUACAACCAAAAAAAAAAGAGAAAGAAAGUAGAAAAAGCCUCCACGAAUGUCACUUGUGUGAAGCCUCAGUACUUGAAGCCUUGGUACUCGGUGGAACCCUAAAAGAAUGAGGCACCGAAGAUAGCUUAUUCGGAGCCUCAAUACUUGGUCGAACUCCAGAUGACGAAGGCAAAAAGUGCCUCUGGAAUACAUCCACAAACUUCCGAUGGUCACUUUGAAUUCGACCUUCGGAGUCCGUCAGCUGAUCAAGCUUCCUCUUCAUGCUCGUCGAAUAACUAUUUGCAAGCAUAUGCAACUCUCUAUUCUCACGCUUGAGCUGCCUAAUCUCUUGACUAAGAGCUGCCACCUCAGUUGUCAAUGAUUCAACCUGGCGAGUUCGAGCAAGUAAGCGUUGACCCAUGUUAGAAACAGAGUUCGCACACUGGACACUGAGAGCCUGGGACUCUUGAACGGCUAACUCAUCGGACCGUCGUGAAAGUAUCCUAUUAUCUUUAGGAGUGAGGAGGUUUCUAGCUACAACCGUAGCCGUUGUUGCAUCCCUCAUCACAGAGUCUUCAACUGUAAGAGGGCCAUUAGAAGAAAAAAAAAGACGGGCGCCAUACAUUACCCUGACGCGGUGCACCUGUGUCGCUGCUAAGACUCAAAUCUAAGCAAAUGUUAAAAGGGGAAGUCAUUUUCAAAAAAUACUAAAAGAAAAAGGUUGGAUGAAGUAAAGAGUAGCAGAGAUAAUUUUUCACGAACAGGCAAUCUUCAAAUUGUGCGUGUUGAAUACAAUUGACACCUCUUUAAAAGGAGAGGCAGCACAACCAUUCGUUCGUAAAUCGAAGAAACACCACUCUCCGAAUUUCAAAACCCGGAUUUUUCUGCGUAAAGUCCGUCGACACUUCUCAGACAUAAUCUCAGCUUUCGGCUAUCACGUGCAACUUCGUCAGAUAUCACUGACAAAGUUGAAGAUGUGUGAGGUCCAUUACGCCAACUACCGUACUUCUGCCGACAAGCGUGGGUGACAAGGCCACGCUCACCCUACCACUUGAUGUUGAGAGCUCACCAUAUAAUUCGACCUCCAUCCUAUAGCAAGACACACAUCUAGCUUGACUCAUCUUCCUUGCCGAAGGCAUCUGCAACCAAAACUCAGUUUUCUUCCUCCCUGAAAACACAUCCAACCUGACCUUUCUUCCUUGCCGAAGACAUUUGCAACCCAAAACUCAGUUUUCUUCCUCCCUGAAAACGCAUCCAGCCUGACCUUUCUUCCUCGCCAAGGGCAUCUGCAACCAAAAUUCAGUUUUCUUCCUCCCUAGAAGCGCCUCUUCAACCAAGCCACACCAGAGUAAAGGUAUCUCAUAUCACUGGGGUUGAGAGCAAGAGUAUCUCAUAGCAUGCUUUCUCCCUAUCCUUUUCUUUGUCCUCCCUCUUCACUACGAAGACAAGGAUAAAGAAAGCAAUAUGUCGGAACCUCCACUCAAGCUCCUGGUAAGGAACCGACUACUUGGAACCUUUCCUGAUUGCUCACCUAGCCGUGCUCUCGAAUACGCAUCGUCAACAUCUUCUGCUUCCUCUUCGUCUACCACGUCUGCCUGGAAAACAGAUGAUGCAGGUGAAGAUGAUGCAGAUGAAGAUGAUGCAUCGAAGCAUAUGGAGACAGGCGCGACGAAUGCAUGUGCUGAUCGUCCGCUACUUCUUCAAAAGCAAAAGUAUCUCAUAUCACUGGGGUCGAAAGCAAAGGUAUCUCAUAUCAUGCUCUUCCCCCAUCUUCUCAUCUGCCCUUGCUCUUGCCUGCAGAACAAGGGGAAAGGAAGCAAUCAGUCGGAACCUGAAAUUAAAUGUCCGACCAGGAACUGAUUGCCCGGAACCUUUGCCUGGUUACUUACCUAGCGUUGCUCUCGAGUGCUCAUCUUCAACUGCUAAUAUGUCUCGAAUUCCCUCAGCAAAUGCUUCAAGAGUGUGGAUCUGUUGACAUCGACUCUUUGCACUGAAGCUGCCAAGCAUGAGUGAGUCGCUGAGAGGUGGUGCUCCGAGGAACCAUUUAAAGGCAAAAGGUUGCACAUCGCUUCAGCCAUGCAAAAGAAAUAAGCAGAGAAGAAAUGCAACACAACAAGCUGGAACAAAUCAUGAAGCACGAAAGCCCUUCCCUGCAUGACCACAUAAUCCAGACGGAGGAGUUCAAGUAAAGAUCCAAGCUAGACACCGUUGCUCCAACCCAAAAGGCUCGAGAAGCUUUAACGACCCUUCGCUGGUACCGUCACCGAAGAGCAAAGCCUCGAUAAUCCUUAAAGAUCAAGUCACCAACUGGAAGAAGAGCCCAUCAAUCUUGAAGAUCAUACUGUUGACCAAACUGCUCAGGGUUCAUAUGAAAAUGCUGCGAACUUCCUUGAUCUUUCAAAGCAUGCAUGUCCUGAAACUGCUCGUGGUCAUGUUUAAGUUCGAAAUCAAGCCUCAACGACCCUGACUCAAGAUCAAGUGUCCACCACUCUUGAGUCAAAUCCAGUUCAAGAUUAAGUCUGUGGAAAGUCCUUUGGAGGAAACCAGAAAACUCCUCCAGCCUAGUUCAAGAUCAAAGCUGUGGAAAGUCAACAAGCACAACAAAAUACGUGCUGAUUCAUCCAUUAUCAAAGCCAAGGAUCGUCUACUACGUGAAGCUCCUUGUGGUCCAAUUUCAUCCAAGAUCAAGCCUCAACGGCCCUUGAAGAAAUUUCAAACAAAAUUCAAGAACAAGCCUUAACGGCACUUGAAGAAACUCCCAGACCAGUUCAAGAUCAAGCCUCAACGGCCCUUGGAUCGACAUCUACAUUAAGGGACUUCAAAACGCAUCUUCUACACGUGACAAGCACAUGUAUACUAUGCGCCUUGAAGUGGGGGCAUUUGUAGACAUUGAAAUUUCGUUGAAAUAAAUGUUAGCCAUCGCAUUAAAAUUACAUUUGUAAACAUUGAAAUUUUAGUGAAAUAAAUGUUGACCAUUGCAUUAAAACUACAACAUACACCCAAAUUCACCUACAACAAUCCAUCCAAAUUCACCUACAACAAUCCAUCCAAAUUCACCUACAACCUCCACCCAAAUUCACC